CCUUGCCGAAGCUAUGGCAUUGCGUGCAGGCCGACUGCGCGAGGCGCUGGCCGGGUGACUGUGCUUGUGCAAGGCUCGCGGCGAGCA
RNAcentral lists this transfer RNA (87 nucleotides) under Variovorax sp. PBL-H6. RNAcentral describes it as "tRNA-Arg". Lineage: Bacteria; Pseudomonadati; Pseudomonadota; Betaproteobacteria; Burkholderiales; Comamonadaceae. The record is from RNAcentral.